RNAcentral lists this ribosomal RNA (253 nucleotides) under uncultured bacterium. Its description in RNAcentral is "partial 16S ribosomal RNA". It matches the Rfam family "Bacterial small subunit ribosomal RNA", at positions 524 to 776 of the family's 1533-position model. The record is from RNAcentral.
UACGUAGGGGGCUAGCGUUGUCCGGAUUUAUUGGGCGUAAAGAGCGUGUAGGUGGCCAGGUAGGUCUGCUGUGAAAACUCGAGGCUCAACCUCGAGACGUCGGCGGAAACCAUCUGGCUAGAGUCCGGAAGAGGAGAGUGGAAUUCCUGGUGUAGCGGUGAAAUGCGUAGAUAUCAAGAGGAACACCUGAGGUGAAGACGGGUUGCUGGGCUGACACUGACGCUGAGGCGCGAAAGCCAGGGGAGCAAACGGG